GCUGGGUGUAGUGGUGCAUGCCUGUAAUCCCAGAGGCUCGGGAGGCUGAGGCAGGAGGAUCACGAGUUCAAAGCCAGCCUCAGCAACUUAGCAAGGUCCUAAGCAACUCAGCGAGACCCUGUCUCUU
This 127-nucleotide small RNA is filed under the name Marmota monax (woodchuck). The record is from RNAcentral. Lineage: Eukaryota; Metazoa; Chordata; Mammalia; Rodentia; Sciuridae.